AAAAAGACACAUGAGAGCACGAUAAGAGAAGAUACCAGCCAUUUAAUCAGAUUUUAUUUUUGCUGUUUCUACAGAUACAUGGUUGUCAGAACCUAUGCUUUUAUAAAAUGACUAAAUAUAUUUUCAAACAUGAAAAUUUUGUUAUUUUGUUAUGCAGGCAUUGAACUAAAUUAGCAACAACAACAACAAAAAAAGACUUGGCAAAAACUUCAACCUGGUUGCUGGAAAACAUUUAGACAAAGUCAUGUUUUAUGUAAUGGCUACAUAUUUUUAAAUUGUAUUUUCAUCUUAUUAUAGUGUCCAUUUUUGGGAGUCUAGCUAAGAAUUAUGGUAGGACUUGUUGCCUUAGAAAGUUGGUGGCAGAUUUGCAACAAAAAGUUGAUGAGAACUCUAAACCUCCGUCUGAUGAAAGCCACACAAGAUCUGAAUAACAUGAAAACAACAUGCAAAAA
Molecule: long non-coding RNA, 452 nt
Organism: Xiphophorus couchianus (Monterrey platyfish)
Lineage: Eukaryota; Metazoa; Chordata; Actinopteri; Cyprinodontiformes; Poeciliidae
Exons: 2
Source: RefSeq, a predicted model, not a curated record